UUGUUUGUUACGAUCGUACACGUUCUUCACACAGAUGUUUGUAAAAAGGCCCGGAGGCCACAGUUCACAGGGGUUUUGUGUUCAGGCCAGAGGCCCGGAUAUUCACUAAUGAUCCUUCCGCAGGUUCACCUACGGAAA
Molecule: unclassified non-coding RNA, 138 nt
Filed under: uncultured fungus
Lineage: Eukaryota; Fungi
Description: sequence contains ITS1
Source: RNAcentral